Molecule: non-coding RNA, 156 nt
Organism: Paramuricea clavata
Lineage: Eukaryota; Metazoa; Cnidaria; Anthozoa; Malacalcyonacea; Plexauridae
Source: the annotation of a GenBank genome assembly
UCAAUACUCCCCAGUCUGAAUUAUCUCAUUUUAAAAAUUAUAACAGGAGAUACCUCAGACUGGGGAGCAUUCAGACCAGUCUCGAUACUCCCCAGUCUGAGAAAUCUCAUUUAAAAAAAAUUAUAACAGGAGAUGCUCCAGACUGGGGAGUAUCGA